GGCCAGGUGGCGGAGUGGUUAACGCGAGAGACUAGAAUGAAAUUCAUCUUUCACGAAGAUGUUCAUAACAUAUCUCUUCCUUUCGGGGGCGUAGGUUCGAAUCCUGCCCUGGUCG
This is a non-coding RNA of Thozetella sp. PMI_491, 115 nucleotides long. Lineage: Eukaryota; Fungi; Ascomycota; Sordariomycetes; Chaetosphaeriales; Chaetosphaeriaceae. The record is from the annotation of a GenBank genome assembly.